RNAcentral lists this ribosomal RNA (440 nucleotides) under uncultured bacterium. RNAcentral's name for it is "partial 16S ribosomal RNA". It matches the Rfam family "Bacterial small subunit ribosomal RNA", at positions 338 to 795 of the family's 1533-position model. The record is from RNAcentral.
CCUACGGGAGACAGCAGUGGGGAAUAUUGCACAAUGGGGGAAACCCUGAUGCAGCGACGCCGCGUGAGUGAAGAAGUAUUUCGUUAUGUAAAGCUCUAUCAGCAGGGAAGAAAAUGACGGUACCUGACUAAGAAGCCCCGGCUAACUACGUGCCAGCAGCCGCGGUAAUACGUAGGGGGCAAGCGUUAGCCGGAUUUACUGGGUGUAAAGGGAGCGUAGACGGCAGUGCAAGUCUGGAGUGAAAGGCGGGGGCUCAACCCUCGGACUGCUUUGGAAACUGUACGGCUUGAGUGCAGGAGAGGUAAGGGGAAUUCCUAGUGGAGCGGUGAAAUGCGUAGAUAUUAGGAGGAACACCAGUGGCGAAGGCGGCUUACUGGACUGUAACUGACGUUGAGGCUCGAAAGCGUGGGGAGCAAACAGGAUUAGAUACCCUUGUAGUC